GGGAAUAUAGCUCAGCUGCUUGAGUGCUUGCCUUCUAAGCAUGAGGCCCUGGAUUUAAUCUCCAGUACCA
RNAcentral lists this transfer RNA (70 nucleotides) under Ictidomys tridecemlineatus (thirteen-lined ground squirrel). RNAcentral's name for it is "Spermophilus tridecemlineatus (thirteen-lined ground squirrel) tRNA". It matches the Rfam family "tRNA". From Rfam's summary of the family: Transfer RNA (tRNA) molecules are approximately 80 nucleotides in length. Their secondary structure includes four short double-helical elements and three loops (D, anti-codon, and T loops). Lineage: Eukaryota; Metazoa; Chordata; Mammalia; Rodentia; Sciuridae. The record is from Rfam by way of RNAcentral.